UUUUGGGAAACGAAUCCCAUUGUUUUCUUCCUUUUCUAAGCGUAUUACUGAUCCUGUAUAAAUAUCUCAGGCUCUAAAUUUAUUCCAUGUGUUUAUUUCUCCUCGCAGAACGGCAGCAAGAUCUCCAGGAGACCAAGUUUGGUGAGAGACCUGAAAGGCAAACCUGCCAUGUAUUAGGGCAUCUAAAAAUGGAGAAAAUGCUAUUUGAUAUUGCCCAUACAGUACUAGAAGAAGAAAUGUAAGCUCAUUAUGAUUCAUGUAGAUGAGGCAGACACGGAAGAGAACAUUCGGUAUUAUAAAUACGCUAACAAGCUCCACAUAAGAGGAAAAAGGCAUCAGAACUACAUGUCACAAGUGCUUGGCCCAGGAAAGCUGCUGAAUCCUUGGAGGGUGGUGGUUAACACUACCCUGGCGUCAUGAACUGUCUAUUUGUCACCAUUACACUAGCCAGCGUACAGCACCCAGCUGAAUGGUAUCCUUUUAACAUUGAUUGCAUUCCACCUACUGAAAUGAAUUACCGACCAUCUAAGGCGUAGCUAGACCCAAAUGGCGGGGCACUCUUUGCAUACGAUGGAAUCUACAUUGAUGUGAUCGGUGAGGGCCUAUUACUGGGGCGUUUUAUGGCCAGAAGGCACCUGCAAAGGUCCAGCAAGGACCACAAAAGGGGUUCUCGACUACCACCGGGACGCUAAACCAGGUUGAACCAAAGAGCCGUCUAAGUGGCAUCCCUGCCAAAGCAGAACCCGGGAUUGCAGGGAGGUAAAGAACCCGAUGGCCACUCACACCUACCCUAGACCUCCAAAUGGAACACCACACCUUGAAGAACUCUUGUGACUAACAAAACAAGCAAAAGUGAACACAACGACAGAAAAUAAAAAAUUAAAUAACCCCCAAAAAAGCUAUACAAAGAUGGAAAUUAAAGAGGAACUAUGCCUAAAUUGAAAUAAAAGAUGAUUGGAGGGGUUCCGCCUCAUGGAUCCUGCUCUAA
Molecule: long non-coding RNA, 988 nt
Organism: Hyla sarda
Lineage: Eukaryota; Metazoa; Chordata; Amphibia; Anura; Hylidae
Exons: 6
Source: RefSeq, a predicted model, not a curated record